GAUGAACGCUGGCGGCGUGCCUAAUACAUGCAAGUCGAGCGAACAGACGAGGAGCUUGCUCCUCUGACGUUAGCGGCGGACGGGUGAGUAACACGUGGAUAACCUACCUAUAAGACUGGGAUAACUUCGGGAAACCGGAGCUAAUACCGGAUAAUAUAUUGAACCGCAUGGUUCAAUAGUGAAAGACGGUUUUGCUGUCACUUAUAGAUGGAUCCGCGCCGCAUUAGCUAGUUGGUAAGGUAACGGCUUACCAAGGCGACGAUGCGUAGCCGAACUGAGAGGGUGAUCGGCCACAUGGGAACUGAGACACGGUCCAGACUCCUACGGGAGGCAGCAGUAGGGAAUCUUCCGCAAUGGGCGAAAGCCUGACGGAGCAACGCCGCGUGAGUGAUGAAGGUCUUCGGAUCGUAAAACUCUGUUAUUAGGGAAGAACAAAUGUGUAAGUAACUAUGCACGUCUUGACGGUACCUAAUCAGAAAGCCACGGCUAACUACGUG
This 497-nucleotide ribosomal RNA is filed under the name uncultured bacterium. RNAcentral describes it as "partial 16S ribosomal RNA". It matches the Rfam family "Bacterial small subunit ribosomal RNA", at positions 28 to 507 of the family's 1533-position model. The record is from RNAcentral.